RNAcentral lists this ribosomal RNA (433 nucleotides) under uncultured bacterium. RNAcentral's name for it is "partial 16S ribosomal RNA". It matches the Rfam family "Bacterial small subunit ribosomal RNA", at positions 29 to 507 of the family's 1533-position model. The record is from RNAcentral.
AACGAACGCUGGCGGCAUGCCUAACACAUGCAAGUCGAACGAGACCUUCGGGUCUAGUGGCGCACGGGUGCGUAACGCGUGGGAACCUGCCCUUAGGCUCGGAAUAACUCCCCGUAAGGGGUGCUAAUACAGGAAAAUGUCUUCGAAUAAAAGAUUUGACGCCUUUGGUUGGGCCCGGGUUGUUUUGGCUUGUUGGUAGGGAAAAAGCCUACCACGGCGACGAUCCAUAGCGGGUCAGAGAGGAUGAUCAGCCUCACUGAGACUGUGACGCGGCCCAGACUCCUACGGGAGGCAGCAGUGGGGAAUAUUGGACAAUGGGCGAAAGCCUGAUCCAGCAAUGCCGCGUGAGUGAUGAAGUCCUUAGGGUUGUAAAGCUCUUUUACCCGGGAUGAUAAUGACAGUACCGGGAGAAUAAGCUCCGGCUAACUCCGUG